UGCGAACGGGUGAGUAACGCGUAGGUAACCUGCCUGGUAGCGGGGGAUAACUAUUGGAAACGAUAGCUAAUACCGCAUAAUAGUAGAUGUUGCAUGACAUUUGCUUAAAAGGUGCAAUUGCAUCACUACCAGAUGGACCUGCGUUGUAUUAGCUAGUUGGUGAGGUAACGGCUCACCAAGGCAACGAUACAUAGCCGACCUGAGAGGGUGAUCGGCCACACUGGGACUGAGACACGGCCCAGACUCCUACGGGAGGCAGCAGUAGGGAAUCUUCGGCAAUGGACGGAAAGUCUGACCGAGCAACCGCCGGCGUGAGUGAAAGAAAGGGUUUUUCGGGAUCGUAAAAGGCUUCCUGUUGUA
This 360-nucleotide ribosomal RNA is filed under the name Streptococcus sp. oral taxon 064. RNAcentral describes it as "bacterial SSU rRNA". It matches the Rfam family "Bacterial small subunit ribosomal RNA", at positions 97 to 444 of the family's 1533-position model. The record is from RNAcentral. Lineage: Bacteria; Bacillati; Bacillota; Bacilli; Lactobacillales; Streptococcaceae.